GAUGAACGCUGGCGGCGUGCUUAACACAUGCAAGUCGAACGAUGAAGCCCAGCUUGCUGGGUGGAUUAGUGGCGAACGGGUGAGUAACACGUGAGUAACCUGCCCUUAACUCUGGGAUAAGCCUGGGAAACUGGGUCUAAUACCGGAUAGGAGCGCCUACCGCAUGGUGGGUGUUGGAAAGAUUUAUCGGUUUUGGAUGGACUCGCGGCCUAUCAGCUUGUUGGUGAGGUAAUGGCUCGCCAAGGCGACGACGGGUAGCCGGCCUGAGAGGGUGACCGGCCACACUGGGACUGAGACACGGCCCAGACUCCUACGGGAGGCAGCAGUGGGGAAUAUUGCACAAUGGGCGAAAGCCUGAUGCAGCGACGCCGCGUGAGGGAUGACGGCCUUCGGGUUGUAAACCUCUUUCAGUAGGGAAGAAGCGAAAGUGACGGUACCUGCAGAAGAAGCACCGGCUAACUACGUG
RNAcentral lists this ribosomal RNA (466 nucleotides) under uncultured bacterium. RNAcentral's name for it is "partial 16S ribosomal RNA". It matches the Rfam family "Bacterial small subunit ribosomal RNA", at positions 28 to 507 of the family's 1533-position model. The record is from RNAcentral.